AACGGGUGGUAAUGCCGGAUGUUCCACAUGAUCGCAUGUGAUUGUGGGAAAGAUUCUAUCGGCGUGGGAUGGGGUCGCGUCCUAUCAGCUUGUUGGUGAGGUAACGGCUCACCAAGGCUUCGACGGGUAGCCGGCCUGAGAGGGCGACCGGCCACAUUGGGACUGAGAUACGGCCCAGACUCCUACGGGAGGCAGCAGUGGGGAAUAUUGCACAAUGGGCGCAAGCCUGAUGCAGCGACGCCGCGUGAGGGAUGGAGGCCUUCGGGUUGUAAACCUCUUUUGUUUGGGAGCAAGCCUUCGGGUGAGUGUACCUUUCGAAUAAGCGCCGGCUAACUACGUGCCAGCAGCCGCGGUAAUACGUAGGGCGCAAGCGUUAUCCGGAUUUAUUGGGCGUAAAGGGCUCGUAGGCGGCUCGUCGCGUCCGGUGUGAAAGUCCAUCGCUUAACGGUGGAUCUGCGCCGGGUACGGGCGGGCUGGAGUGCGGUAGGGGAGACUGGAAUUCCCGGUGUAACGGUGGAAUGUGUAGAUAUCGGGAAAGAACACCA
This 545-nucleotide ribosomal RNA is filed under the name Bifidobacterium bifidum. RNAcentral describes it as "bacterial SSU rRNA". It matches the Rfam family "Bacterial small subunit ribosomal RNA", at positions 155 to 711 of the family's 1533-position model. Lineage: Bacteria; Bacillati; Actinomycetota; Actinomycetes; Bifidobacteriales; Bifidobacteriaceae. The record is from RNAcentral.